RNAcentral lists this ribosomal RNA (492 nucleotides) under Pichia kudriavzevii. RNAcentral's name for it is "partial large subunit ribosomal RNA". It matches the Rfam family "Eukaryotic large subunit ribosomal RNA", at positions 156 to 667 of the family's 3401-position model. The record is from RNAcentral. Lineage: Eukaryota; Fungi; Ascomycota; Pichiomycetes; Pichiales; Pichiaceae.
GUUGGAGUCUGUGUGGAAGGCGGUGUCCAAGUCCCUUGGAACAGGGCGCCCAGGAGGGUGAGAGCCCCGUGGGAUGCCGGCGGAAGCAGUGAGGCCCUUCUGACGAGUCGAGUUGUUUGGGAAUGCAGCUCCAAGCGGGUGGUAAAUUCCAUCUAAGGCUAAAUACUGGCGAGAGACCGAUAGCGAACAAGUACUGUGAAGGAAAGAUGAAAAGCACUUUGAAAAGAGAGUGAAACAGCACGUGAAAUUGUUGAAAGGGAAGGGUAUUGCGCCCGACAUGGGGAUUGCGCACCGCUGCCUCUCGUGGGCGGCGCUCUGGGCUUUCCCUGGGCCAGCAUCGGUUCUUGCUGCAGGAGAAGGGGUUCUGGAACGUGGCUCUUCGGAGUGUUAUAGCCAGGGCCAGAUGCUGCGUGCGGGGACCGAGGACUGCGGCCGUGUAGGUCACGGAUGCUGGCAGAACGGCGCAACACCGCCCGUCUUGAAACACGGACC